This 28-nucleotide non-coding RNA is filed under the name Cricetulus griseus (Chinese hamster). The record is from RNAcentral. Lineage: Eukaryota; Metazoa; Chordata; Mammalia; Rodentia; Cricetidae.
CAGGGCCUGGCUGAGGGAAGUACCAUGG